Molecule: ribosomal RNA, 253 nt
Filed under: uncultured bacterium
Lineage: Bacteria
Description: partial 16S ribosomal RNA
Rfam family: Bacterial small subunit ribosomal RNA
Source: RNAcentral
GACAGAGGAUGCAAACGUUGCUCGGAUUUACUGGGCGUAAAGCGCGCGCAGGCGGUUCUGUAAGUCGGACGUGAAAGCCCGGGGCUCAACCUCGGAAGUGCGUCUGAUACUGCAGGACUGGAGUACUGGAGAGGAGAGCGUAAUUCCCGGUGCAGAGGUGAAAUUCGUAGAUAUCGGGAGGAACACCAGUGGCGAAGGCGGCUCUCUGGACAGAUACUGACGCUGAGGCGCGAAAGCGUGGGAAGCAAACAGG